Molecule: transfer RNA, 78 nt
Filed under: Actinocatenispora comari
Lineage: Bacteria; Bacillati; Actinomycetota; Actinomycetes; Micromonosporales; Micromonosporaceae
Description: tRNA-Leu
Rfam family: tRNA
About the family: Transfer RNA (tRNA) molecules are approximately 80 nucleotides in length. Their secondary structure includes four short double-helical elements and three loops (D, anti-codon, and T loops).
Source: RNAcentral
UGCCCCGGUAGACCAACGGCAGAGUCAAUGGUCUCAAACACCAUCCAGUGUGGGUUCGAAUCCCACCCGGGGCACCCA